This 513-nucleotide ribosomal RNA is filed under the name Aspergillus fumigatus. RNAcentral describes it as "eukaryotic LSU rRNA". The stretch from base 143 to 296 matches the Rfam family "5.8S ribosomal RNA". Lineage: Eukaryota; Fungi; Ascomycota; Eurotiomycetes; Eurotiales; Aspergillaceae. The record is from RNAcentral.
CGUACCUUGUUGCUUCGGCGGGCCCGCCGUUUCGACGGCCGCCGGGGAGGCCCUGCGCCCCCGGGCCCGCGCCCGCCGAAGACCCCAACAUGAACGCUGUUCUGAAAGUAUGCAGUCUGAGUUGAUUAUCGUAAUCAGUUAAAACUUUCAACAACGGAUCUCUUGGUUCCGGCAUCGAUGAAGAACGCAGCGAAAUGCGAUAAGUAAUGUGAAUUGCAGAAUUCAGUGAAUCAUCGAGUCUUUGAACGCACAUUGCGCCCCCUGGUAUUCCGGGGGGCAUGCCUGUCCGAGCGUCAUUGCUGCCCUCAAGCACGGCUUGUGUGUUGGGCCCCCGUCCCCCUCUCCCGGGGGACGGGCCCGAAAGGCAGCGGCGGCACCGCGUCCGGUCCUCGAGCGUAUGGGGCUUUGUCACCUGCUCUGUAGGCCCGGCCGGCGCCAGCCGACACCCAACUUUAUUUUUCUAAGGUUGACCUCGGAUCAGGUAGGGAUACCCGCUGAACUUAAGCAUAUCAA